GUUAAAAUCUUGGCAUUUAAAUUUCGACCAUCGUGGGUGAAAGUUACUGUUGUGAUUGCUUAGACUACAGAAAAGGAAAUACUAACCACCAUAUAACGUUGGAUUGCUAUCACUUAUCACGUUUUGAUAACUCUCUAUCACUUUUGACGUGUUUGUGAACUGAAGUUAAUGCAAAAUACAUAUAUUAAAAGAUUAAUUAUUAUUCUCCGAAAAUGCAGUUUAUUUAUGUUUUGUUUACAUUUUUAACAAUGUUGGUGGUGUGUUAUGGCAAGUGGAUGACGUAUUCACAAUUUUUUGAGGAGCAGCAGAGAAAAAUAGAUAUGCCUACCGACGACGUUGAUUGUAUAAUUAAUAGAUCAAACUUUCCCUAAUCCUAUCCUAUUGGUAACCGUCAUCACCAGGAGGAAAUCCAGGAGGAGGAUAUAAUAGAAAUAUUUUACAUUAUUAAAAAUAUAUUGUUAUGUAUAACGUUUUUUAUUAUUAAUAAAAGCCAAUUUUAUCUCG
This is a long non-coding RNA of Diabrotica virgifera virgifera (western corn rootworm), 504 nucleotides long. RefSeq lists it as uncharacterized. The record is from RefSeq and is a predicted model, not a curated record. The transcript has 3 exons. Lineage: Eukaryota; Metazoa; Arthropoda; Insecta; Coleoptera; Chrysomelidae.